RNAcentral lists this ribosomal RNA (521 nucleotides) under uncultured bacterium. Its description in RNAcentral is "bacterial SSU rRNA". It matches the Rfam family "Archaeal small subunit ribosomal RNA", at positions 345 to 866 of the family's 1478-position model. The record is from RNAcentral.
AACCUCCGCAAUGUGAGAAAUCGCGACGGGGGGAUCCCAAGCGCCAUUCUUAACGGGAUGGCUUUUCAUUAGUGUAAAGAGCUUUUGGAAUAAGAGCUGGGCAAGACCGGUGCCAGCCGCCGCGGUAACACCGGCAGCUCUAGUGGUAACAAUUUUUAUUGGGCCUAAAGCGUCCGUAGCCGGUUUAAUAAGUCUCUGGUGAAAUCCUGUAGCUUAACUGUGGGAAUUGCUGGAGAUACUAUUAGACUUGAGACCGGGAGAGGUUAGAGGUACUCCCAGGGUAGAGGUGAAAUUCUGUAAUCCUGGGAGGACCGCCUGUUGCGAAGGCGUCUAACUGGAACGGUUCUGACGGUGAGGGACGAAAGUUAGGGGCGCGAACCGGAUUAGAUACCCGGGUAGUCCUAACUGUAAACGAUGCGGACUUGGUGUUGGGGUGGCUUUGAGCUGCUCCAGUGCCGAAGGGAAGCUGUUAAGUCCGCCGCCUGGGAAGUACGGUCGCAAGACUGAAACUUAAAGGAAUU